Molecule: long non-coding RNA, 2188 nt
Organism: Hemicordylus capensis (graceful crag lizard)
Lineage: Eukaryota; Metazoa; Chordata; Lepidosauria; Squamata; Cordylidae
Exons: 3
Source: RefSeq, a predicted model, not a curated record
UCUUUCAUGGUGUGAUCUGGGUGUUUAAUGUCAGCCAGUUAGUGAGUCAGUGAGGGCUUGUAGUUUGCAAGCAUAUGAAUGUCUUAUCGCACUGUGACUUUAGCCUUUUCCUCACUGUAUGAGAUUUCAUUCCACAUGGUUUCCAAUGGGAGAGUUUUCCUGGAUGUUCUGGUGAAGUAAUGAUUCCCCCCCCCCCCGGGGUUUUGGAUUAUUUUCAUAGCCUGGGUAUGGUCUGGAACCUACUGGUGAAAAUGGUAGUCAGAAGAAUGCAAAGUUGUUGGCAAGGGACCCGAGCAUUUAAAAAAGAAGAAGAUAUAAAUGGCACAAAAGUGGUAUUCAAGGAUAUACGCUUGGAUACACCAAUAUCGGGCAGCAGUGAUACAGGAAGAUGCUGAAAGGCAUCAUAUCAUUCUGCGUGGGAGGAAGCAAUGGUAAACCCCUCCUGUAUUCUAUCAAAGAAAACCACAGGGCUCUGUGGUCACCAGGAGUUGACACUGACUCAACGGCACACUUUACCUUUUACCUAUCAUGAGAACACUGAAAAGACUAGUUCACAGUGAAAUACAGGAGUUCUGUUCUGGUUGCCUGGACCUCUCAUUGGUUUCCUAAGCAGAGAGCUUCUAUAGCAAGUAAUGGCAAAUGUUUACCAUAAAUCUGUUUCAUCUUGAAUACACCAGAAUAUAAUGUGGAGCACUAGCACAUCCUCCAUUUCCAUAGUUAGAAGGAUGCAUCUAAUGGCAUUUGGGGGAGAUGCUUUUGCAGAGAGUGAGAGAGAGAUUCCUUUGUCCCUUUGACAGUUUUGCUAAGAAACAGUGUCCCCUCCACCACUACCAAAGUUGAGUAUGAAGAGUUAAAUAUAGGUGCACCAGCCAAGCACUCUUGUAUACAACCUUAUCAUGAUUUAUUACAUUUCUACCCUGCCAUUUGGUUCCUCAACCCCCCGCCCCGAGAAAACUGUCACAUACUAUUCCAAAACUUUGAUUUGUGUGCCUUUAAUAUAUAUAUAAAUUCCCACAUUUGAAGUUGGUAUGAACGUAUCAUAGGCUGCAUUCUCAUGUAACCUCACCCACCCCACCCUACCCCCACUGCUCUCCCUCUGAAUUUGGAUGUUCAGGAGAGCAGUCUCUCUGCAGACGUGGGAGAGCUGGCUGAGCAGGCUUCCUUCUUUACUGAAGAACAGCUUCCUCCCUCAACUCCGGUUCCAGGGACAGCAGCCUGUGGUUCCAAAUUCAGAUGUACUGUAGGCUGCCUGGGACCUCAGGUUGGAGUUCCAGUUCUGAAUCCUUGGUGCAUCACCGUGCUGAACUCCAGUUCCCCACAUUCAGACAUAAUGUCUGUGGAUCCGCAGACCUAUUCAAUUGCAGUUCUACAUUAUGUGCAAAUGCGGCCAUAGUAAAGAUGUAUACGUUCUUGCUACAUUUGCUUUGGCAUUCAACCUUUCACCACUGUUGUAUGGCUUGCUGGAUACUUAUAAUUAAUGAAUGCUUAUUUAAUAAUAUACCCAUGCCAGGUCUCUUCUAUUUCACUAACCACACCCAAGUCCUUAAGUAUCAUUUCCUUCUAUCCUAUCUAUAGCAAAUAUCUUGUAUAAUGUGCUAUAACCACAAAAGAGAAGUAUUGUCUCUGUAUGCAGCAUUGGUUUUCAGGAAGUGUAACAUCAGUUCUACUCUCUUUUUUUGUCCAGUGUAGCAUUAUUUAAUCCACAAUAGUGGUUUGACUAAUACUAAACUGAACUUCAUGUGGUAGGAUUGUCAGGCAAGUUGUCUAAACUCAUAUUUGCUUGUAAAAGAUCUAAUUUAUAUUUUCCUAAAUUGAUCCCCCCCUUCAGUUAUCAAUAUUGUUGUAGUCAAGGAGUUUUCAACAACAACAACAACAACAACAUGCUAAGGUAUUGUAUUUGGGAAGUUGUUGCCUUCAAAUUAAUCAGAAGGACAUCAUUCAUCAUGCAGUUUUCAAGUGAAGAACUGCUAACCUGAGGAGUCCAAAGACUGUUUUUAUAUUAUUGUUGUUGUUGUUAUUCAAUUUCUAUACCACCGUUCCAAAAAUGGCUCAGAGCGGUUUACGUAGAGAAAUAAUAAAUAAAUAAAUAAAUUUUCAUAUUAAGAAAAAUGAAUCCUUUAAUGGCUUCUCACCCCCCACCCGCCCCAGUGUCAUUUAUUAUUGAGUACAGAAAACUGUUUAAGCUUUU